CUACGGGCGGCUGCAGUCGGGAAUAUUGCGCAAUGGAGGAAACUCUGACGCAGUGACGCCGCGUAUAGGAAGAAGGUUUUCGGAUUGUAAACUAUUGUCGUUAGGGAAGAUAAAAGACAGUACCUAAGGAGGAAGCUCCGGCUAACUACGUGCCAGCAGCCGCGGUAAUACGUAGGGAGCAAGCGUUAUCCGGAUUUAUUGGGUGUAAAGGGUGCGUAGACGGGAAGACAAGUUAGUUGUGAAAUCCCUCGGCUUAACUGAGGAACUGCAACUAAAACUAUUUUUCUUGAGUGUUGGAGAGGAAAGUGGAAUUCCUAGUGUAGCGGUGAAAUGCGUAGAUAUUAGGAGGAACACCGGUGGCGAAGGCGACUUUCUGGACAACAACUGACGUUGAGGCACGAAAGUGUGGGGAGCAAACAGGAUUAGAUACCCCCGUAGUC
RNAcentral lists this ribosomal RNA (440 nucleotides) under uncultured bacterium. RNAcentral's name for it is "partial 16S ribosomal RNA". It matches the Rfam family "Bacterial small subunit ribosomal RNA", at positions 339 to 795 of the family's 1533-position model. The record is from RNAcentral.